RNAcentral lists this ribosomal RNA (252 nucleotides) under uncultured bacterium. RNAcentral describes it as "partial 16S ribosomal RNA". It matches the Rfam family "Bacterial small subunit ribosomal RNA", at positions 526 to 779 of the family's 1533-position model. The record is from RNAcentral.
CGUAGGUGCGAGCGUUGUCCGGAAUUACUGGGCGUAAAGAGCUCGUAGGCGGUUUGUCACGUCGUCUGUGAAAUCCUCCAGCUUAACUGGGGCGUGCAGGCGAUACGGGCAGACUUGAGUACUACAGGGGAGACUGGAAUUCCUGGUGUAGCGGUGAAAUGCGCAGAUAUCAGGAGGAACACCGGUGGCGAAGGCGGGUCUCUGGGUAGUAACUGACGCUGAGGAGCGAAAGCAUGGGUAGCGAACAGGAUU